UACGUAGGGUGCGAGCGUUGUCCGGACUUAUUGGGCGUAAAGAGCUUGUAGGCGGUUUGUCGCGUCUGCUGUGAAAAUCCGGGGCUCAACCCCGGACUUGCAGUGGGUACGGGCAGACUAGAGUGUGGUAGGGGAGACUGGAAUUCCUGGUGUAGCGGUGAAAUGCGCAGAUAUCAGGAGGAACACCGAUGGCGAAGGCAGGUCUCUGGGCCACUACUGACGCUGAGAAGCGAAAGCAUGGGGAGCGAACAGG
This 253-nucleotide ribosomal RNA is filed under the name uncultured bacterium. RNAcentral describes it as "partial 16S ribosomal RNA". It matches the Rfam family "Bacterial small subunit ribosomal RNA", at positions 524 to 776 of the family's 1533-position model. The record is from RNAcentral.